Lucilia cuprina (Australian sheep blowfly) is the source of this 738-nucleotide long non-coding RNA. RefSeq lists it as uncharacterized. Lineage: Eukaryota; Metazoa; Arthropoda; Insecta; Diptera; Calliphoridae. The record is from RefSeq and is a predicted model, not a curated record. The transcript has 2 exons.
ACCUAUGAAGAAAUGCGUUCCAAUUUUUGUUUCUGUCAUUUGACACGUGGAAAUUUUUUAAUAUGUUCAGCUGUUUUAAAACAGAUGAUAAGUACGCUCUUUCUGUGUUGUUGUUGCAUCUUUGCAAUUUUCGUUUAUACCUGUUUCCUUGACCAGACAUGAAUUUGUUUAACUGAACUUUUUGGGAAGCUUGUUGAAUUAUAUUGCAAAUUAUUUCUCCGAAUUUCUGUGUCAACCCAUUUACUUAUGUCAUUCCAGUUGGCAAGAUGAUACAUUGGGACUAGUUUUGUUCUUUGAAUAAUUGAACCAUAAAUUUGGCAAGUUAUUGGAACAUGAUCGGAAUUAAAAAGUCCUGGAUGAGUUUCGAUUGAAGAUAUGUUUAAAUUCGAGUUUGUAAGUAAGAGGUCUAGAACUGAAGGUUGAGUAUUGUGCGUUCUCUGACAAAAACGUGUGUAGUUGUGUGGAUAUAAUAAUUAGAAAUCAACUGGUGGUUAUACAGCCUUCUACCAGCGGCGUUAAUUUCAUUACAGUUCUAGGUGGUGUUGUGAGCGUUGAAGUCUCCAAAUAUCAGAAAUUCAGAAUUUGGGUCUGUAAUCAAGUUUAAAUCAUCUAUGAAAGUAUUCGAGUAGCGAGGACAGUAUGCAGAUGUGAAUUUGAUUGGCCUGUUGUUAAUAAAGAUUAUUAUAGAAACGUUUUCAAUAUUAGUUGUUGAUGCCUUUAAUAUAUUAUGAUGGGGUA